RNAcentral lists this unclassified non-coding RNA (889 nucleotides) under Hevea brasiliensis (rubber tree). The record is from RNAcentral. Lineage: Eukaryota; Viridiplantae; Streptophyta; Magnoliopsida; Malpighiales; Euphorbiaceae.
UCUCUAUCACAAACUCAUAGAAGUCUGUAUCCUUUUUGUUUAAGAGGGCCAGAGGGGAAGGAAAGAGGGGGUGUUCUUUGCAAUAGCAUUUCUUCUCAAUGGGUUGCAGAAUUGCUGAUUCUGUUUUCCUCUUCGUGAACCCCAAACCGGGGCAAAUCCGUAGUCAGAGGAUUACUACCCAUUUAUCUCCAGGCAUUCAUCACUCGACAUGGGACGGGCUUCUUCAGAAAGGAGAGAAAGAGAAACAUGGUUUAUUCCACUUGAGAAGGACCAAACCUGUACAAGCAGUGGCAGUUCCAGUUGUACCAUCUUCAGCAGACAGUGCUCAGUAUAGAAAGCAGUUAGCAGAAAGUUACGGCUUCAGGCAAAUUGGAGAACCACUUCCUAGAAAUAUUACAUUAAAGGAAAUCAUUGAUACUCUGCCCAAAAAGGUGUUUGAGAUCGAUGAUGUGAAAGCAUGGAAGUCAGUUUUAAUAUCAGCCACUUCAUAUGCAUUGGGGCUCUUUAUGAUUUCAAAGGCCCCAUGGUACCUACUUCCUCUGGCUUGGGCAUGGACAGGGACUGCAGUAACUGGGUUUUUUGUUGUAGGACAUGAUUGUGCUCACAAGUCAUUUUCAAGGAACAAAUUAGUGGAAGACAUUGUGGGAACUCUAGCCUUUCUGCCACUAAUAUACCCAUAUGAGCCAUGGAGGUUUAAGCAUGACAGGCAUCAUGCAAAAACCAACAUGUUGGUUGGGGAUACAGCUUGGCAUCCUAUUUUGAAAGAAGAAUUUGAUUCAUCUCCUCUGUUCCGCAAAGCAAUUAUAUAUGGAUAUGGCCCAUUUCGGCCUUGGAUGUCCAUAGCUCACUGGUUGAUGUGGCACUUUGACAUAAAAAAGUUUAGACCAAA